GUGGUCAAAGCAGCUGUGUUGAUCAUCAGUCCAAGAGUUUGUAUCAUUCAGUUAGAUCUGUAGGAAUGCCAGUGAAGGAACCAUUAAUUGCAGUACAUAAUGCAAAACAGCAAGGGAGCCCUUCAUUGUGUGAAAAAUCAGAAGAUCAUUGUAACCUCACUUCUGUAGUAUCACAUGAAAUUUGCCCAGCUCAGAUCAGUGUUGAAUUGUUAGAGUCUGAGAAAAAUAACCAAAAGUCAAAUGAAAUAGAUAAAAUGGAAACCAUCUUUGACUCAAAUAUAUUUUUCAGAGGUAUGGUAUAUUAAUUUUUUGUAAUCAAUUUGUUUUUAGAAAUUACUAUGUUUAGUAUAUAAAAUAAAUUAAAUUAUGGUGAGAUACAGUACAUAUACAUGAUAAAUAAAUAACUGUUCAUUUCAGUGGAGACAUCUGGGGAUUUCAUAAGCCUUAAUAUUUUCUGUCAUUUAAUUGCAAACAAGGAUGCCCAUCCACACCUAUGCGUGAAUCAACAAUUGAACACUUUCACUGACUGCAACUGUGGUAAUACAACAUAAAGAGGUAGAUGGUUUUAAUUAGCAAAAUCCCAGGAUAUCUAGGGCUUUAUAGAUCAGAACCAGCAAACUUAAACUCCCCGCAAAACCCAAUGUACAUCUCAGAGCAUUGUUAUCAUGUCUUCUCGACAAGAAACACUACUUAAAUAGAACGGUGCUCCAUUCUGCACCAGCUUCAGUUUCCAAAUGUUUCUAAGGUGUAGAGCACAUUGCAGUAGUCUUAUUGUGAAACAGCAAGUUUUUCUUCGAGUGAUGGUCCCUAUUCUACUGUGGGGUUAUGCAUGCCCACUAUGCACCUGGAGUCAGAGAAUUUGAAAGUAGUGUCUGUUGGUCUGCGCAUGCACCCUGACUCACCUCAUGCCUCCGACUGAAGUGAUAAAGGGAGGGGCAGACUAAUUGCCUCUUCAGUUCCUCCUCUCCGCCACAUGGUCUGGAUCCUAACCUUUAGCGUCCUCAGCUCUGAUGUCUUUCUGAAAAACAAUAUUCAGUUGCAAAUAGUUCAUAGUUUUAAUAGUUCUUAAUAACUUUUAUAGAUGUAGUAGUUUUAAUAGUUUUUAGUAUCUUUUAGAGUUAGAUUAGGCAACAGGGAGGAUUCCGGACACUCUUCUGUGUACCCCUUCCAGACUGUCAUAAAUAUCAAGGGAAGGGUUACCACCUUUCUGUAUACAGUGCUAUAAAAUCCCUCCUGGCCAGAGGCAAAACCCUUUCACCUGUAAAGGGUUAAGAAGCUAAGAUAACCUUGCUGGCACCUGACC
This is a long non-coding RNA of Dermochelys coriacea (leatherback sea turtle), 1303 nucleotides long. RefSeq lists it as uncharacterized. NCBI's taxonomy places the organism in Eukaryota, Metazoa, Chordata, Testudines, Dermochelyidae. The transcript is spliced from 2 exons. The record is from RefSeq and is a predicted model, not a curated record.